AUGCACGCACCCUUGAUUGCACAGGUGCACAAUCAUGCAUUGGUUGACAAAUCAUCUUUGAUUAAGUACCUGCGAUCACAUGAAGGGAUCCCCACGGAAGAAAGGGCCUUCCUUACACAUCUCCACAAUUGCAAUAUACCUAUAGGUCGAAUGAUGCACAUCAUGUCAGAUUACUAUGGUACAGAGCUGAUUGUCCCUUAUGGUACUAAGCAUAUUUCAAACCUAAAGUCGGAGUUGAACAAGAAUGCGACAAAGGAAGGUGAUGUGAUUGAGACACUUGCCUACUUUAAAGAUCAGCAAAAUGAAGAUCCAGAUUUCUUUUACAAGAUUAAGUAUGAUGAGGAGGACAGGGCUGAGAAUGUUUUCUGGGUUGACGGUGCAGCAAGGAGGGCUUAUGUAGAGGCAUACCACGACUACAUCUCAUUUGACACUGAUACGUCUCCAAUGUAUCUAUAA
RNAcentral lists this ribosomal RNA (456 nucleotides) under Triticum aestivum (bread wheat). RNAcentral describes it as "partial small subunit ribosomal RNA". Lineage: Eukaryota; Viridiplantae; Streptophyta; Magnoliopsida; Poales; Poaceae. The record is from RNAcentral.